GACUUGGAAGCCAACGUCUCCUCCCCAUUCAAGGGUCCUGGCCCAAUCUUUUUGACGAAGGAAGAAUUGAAGCAGCAUGGAAGCCGACUUCUCCUCCGCAUUCAAGGGUCCUGGUUGGUUCUUCCUAUAAAUAUUACGCCUUUUUCCCCCCAACACAAGCAAAUCCCAAAUUCCUAUCUUUGAGUUCUGAGGAAUCAACUUGUUUCAACUUUUCAAUACCAAUCAUGAAUUCCAUCUUUAGCUCCUUCGAUGCACUCUGCGCUGAAUUCUUGGGCCAAACUAUUAGGUCCUCUUUUGCUUCUGCAUCUACGGAUAACUUGAUCAAGAAGCCGCAGCAAAGCUCGUCUUUACGGUCGACUGCCGACCGAAAACAGGAGCAACCACCAAGCAAGGCCCCGAGGUUUGCACCGGAGCUUGAUGGGCUCAACUUUUUCGAGACCCUUGUUAAGUAUUGAUUCUUGAUUCUGCUGUUGGGCGUCCAUCUUAACAUUCUUGCUUGUACAAAUCAGCAAACUUACUACUGAGAUUGUUAUGGAAUUCUUUCAUUGAUUCAAUCCGAAGUUGUUCUAAGCUUAAUUUGAACAUCUCUUAUUGUGUGAUGGUUUAGAUUUUCAAACAUUACAGAGCGGAGGUUUUGCUUUCACAGGAUGAAAGCAAUUAGAUUGUUGCUUGCCACUGUAGAUUAAUUAAAACAAUCAAUUAGCAAUUGUCAAGCCAAGUGUAGAUUCUAUGGUUAAAAGAUCACCAAACUUACAACUUGAAGAAUUUCUCAAUUUGAAUGUUAACCCUUUUAUCUCUCCUUCAAAAAAC
This 810-nucleotide unclassified non-coding RNA is filed under the name Hevea brasiliensis (rubber tree). The record is from RNAcentral. Lineage: Eukaryota; Viridiplantae; Streptophyta; Magnoliopsida; Malpighiales; Euphorbiaceae.